GGAAGUUGGAAGUUGCUCCUGCUCCCACUGUUUUUUUGCCUGCCCACAAUCAUACCGUUUCUCUGUUUAUAUGUGGAUAUGUAUACACUAGGUUGCAUGCCUGACUGAAUAAUACAAUGACAGAGUUGGAAGGGAUCUUGGAGGUCUUCUACUCCAACCUCCAGCUCAAGCAAAAGACCCUAUACCAUUCCAGACAAGUAGCUGUCCAGUUCCUUCUUAAAAGCCUCCAGUAAUGGAGCACCCACAACUUCUGAAGAAUUUUCCCAGAUAUUGAUGCCAGGCUGAUUGAUCUGUACUUUCCUGAAUCCAUUUUGUUUCCUAUUUUGAAGAUGGGAACCACAUCAACUCUUUUGCAGUCCUCUGGCAGUUCCCCGGUGCUCCAGGGUCUUUGAAAGAUAUGGUUCAAUGGUUCUGAGAUCACAUCUGACAGUUCCUUCAGAACUCCGGACUAUAAUUCAUCAGGUCCCAGUGAUUUGAACUCAUCUAGAGUGGACAGGUUUUCCCUUACUAUUUUCAUGCUUAUUUUAAUUUUUAUUCCUAGUCUGUCUUUUACGGUUAUGUUUUGGUAGGUUGGGCUGCAUUAACUUGUUGUGUGAAGACAAAUGCAAAGAGUGAAUUAAGCAGCUCUGUUUUCUCUCUACUGCCUGUUACUUCCUUGCCAUCUUCUCUCAUUAGUGGACUGAUUGUUUCCUUGACUUUUCUGUGUUUUUUAUAUGUUGAAAGAAAAUUUUUAAAAUUAUUUUUGACAUUGCAA
Long non-coding RNA from Pantherophis guttatus, 754 nucleotides. RefSeq lists it as uncharacterized. The record is from RefSeq and is a predicted model, not a curated record. NCBI's taxonomy places the organism in Eukaryota, Metazoa, Chordata, Lepidosauria, Squamata, Colubridae.